This is a long non-coding RNA of Parus major (Great Tit), 1814 nucleotides long. NCBI's taxonomy places the organism in Eukaryota, Metazoa, Chordata, Aves, Passeriformes, Paridae. The record is from Ensembl.
ACCAUGAACAAGUAUGUACUGAUUAAUCACACAUCUUUUUCACAGUGUGUCUUUUUCUUACACAGACUAUUUUCUGAAGAGUCACUGCUGAUGAAGGGCACAAGUCAUCUUGCAAGGACUUCAAUCAUCUUGCUCUGUAGAGCUUCCAGGUCAAGGAGAGACAAGGCCAUGUAAAUGUAAGUGAUUCUUAAUGAGUUCUUUACCCAUAGCUUUAUUAAGGCACAAAUAACCAUAAAAUGACUCAUUCUAUUGAUUUUGAAUCCAGCAUAAGACUUAUUUCUAAACCCUGAAGAACAGUGGUUGGGAGAAAGAACAUCUUCAACCAGGGUAGUAAUUAUUGCCAGAGUAAGUUGCCUUCAAGAGUCAUUGUCAAGUAAUCAGUAAACACAUAAGAAUAAUUGCCCAUGACUUGGGAAUGCUCCUGCCUGAGCCAUGACAGGAGGAAGGAUACCCACACUAUCCUUCCUUCUGCCCAAAAGCUCCAACUGCAUUUCACUUGAACCAUGAGAAUGCAAUUCUCCCAGUGCCAGUGGAUCAUACUCCAGCAAAUCUGCAGUCACCAGGUCAGAAAUUGCUCCUGUAGGUCAGCAAUACCAGCAGAUCACAAAAAAAACCAAACCUCAGAGCAAAUCAGAAGGGAAGGUACCAAGAUGGGGCAGGAGACCCUCCAAGAUGUUGUUCUGCCCAGGACCUUGGUGUUGGAAUACAAACCAUUCAGCAGUGUAUACUCCAGAGCUGAAGUUAAAGCUGCAGUAGAAACCUGCCUCCUGCUUCACAGCACACCAGGCUGACACACAGCAGAGACCAGAAACUCCCUGCAUUUUCCUCCUCCCACACUCCAGCUCAAAGCCUUCAUAAAACCCUGAGUGAAUACACAGCUUGUGUUUGGUGAAGCAGUUUCCUUUCAGUUGUGCAGAGGGGAAGAGUAACACAUUUUACUUUCUGUUUUUCCUUCUCCCUUACCCUGCUGAUUUAAUUUCCAUCCCCUCACACGCCAUGCAGCCUGUUACAGCCAUGCUGCAGGUAGCCAUGGCAUAUUGGCAAUAAUUUCCAGACUAAUCUCCUUCAGUGUGGGGGCUCCCAUGGAUACAGAAAAACAGGGAGUCAUUUGCUUUUUACUCCCAGUGGAUCAUGGAGCUACAGGAAGGUGCCCUCUCCAGUGGCAAUCACUACCACACCCAUGCAGACUCUAUGAGGCUGGAUUAUGCUAUACAUUCCAUGGUUUAAUUUCAAGGCAAAGAUACUAAUAUGGUAUCCAAAGAUGAAUACAAAAGCAUUCUAAAAGAGUAUACAUUUUUUUUCUUUAAUAUAUUUGAAAACAGAAAUGCAUAAAAUUUCUUAAAAUGUUUCAAUGUACAAAUUUUGAGUAAAAUCACUAAAAUCUGCAGGCAAGACAGGGCUCACAUGUAGUGCUGAACCCUAAUCCAGGAAAAAAAAGUUAGUCUUUUCCCUUUAUCAACUCUGGUGGGAUUUUUUGCUUUCUGAAGAAAUAGCAUAGAUUGCCCACUGUGAUGGUUUUUUUUCUGUUUCUAGCCUCUGUUUUUUAUCUGGAUUCUUUUCCUCAAGGCUCUGUGGGGAGUCCCUACAAGUUAUCAAUAUCAAUGCAUCCCAUCCCAUGAUUCACACUCAAAUGCUGUGAUUUGGAGCAACUCCUCCUUCACCCUCAAGUUUGCAUCCCUUAUUCUUUGAGUUGUGACCUCUUCUACUCUGGUUUAGGAUCUCUCAGUAGCUUUGCACAGCUCUUCCAGAAAAGAGAAUCAUCUCAUUUUAUACCCCUUACUGCAAAAGUGAAAUACAAUAAAUCUUAGCAAAUC